RNAcentral lists this unclassified non-coding RNA (1337 nucleotides) under Hevea brasiliensis (rubber tree). The record is from RNAcentral. Lineage: Eukaryota; Viridiplantae; Streptophyta; Magnoliopsida; Malpighiales; Euphorbiaceae.
GUACUCCUUCCUCUCAAUCUUUUUUAUCAUGUCUGCUAAGCCAACCCCUCCUAGUGACAUUGCACUGACCAAGAUUGUGAAGGACAAAAUGAAGAUGAUUAUAGAUGCUCUUCCUAACAUGUUAAUCACCUUUCUUACCACAUGUUGCCCAACAAAGCCGGCUAUGGUGGUCACAGCAAAGAAGUAGAGAGCAUAGUGAACUGGGAAACGUUUUAGAAGAUAAUAUUCUACCACAGACAUGGAAGCAGAAAAUGUCAUUGCAAAGGUGGCAGUGGCACUUGACACCUGGGGAGGGAUUCCCAUUUCAAGAAAAAGUGGACCUAAAAUGAAUCCUCCACCAAGUCCGAGCAACCCACCAACCAUACCAGCUACUAGACCAAGGAAACAAUAAAUAAGCAACUUGAGUACUCGCCAGUUGGUCCCUGCUUCUCCUUUGGAUGCAAUUUUUCUCCGUCCUUUGUAAAGGCAAACUGCCUGGUAUAUAGUUACUGAAGCUGCAACUGGAAUCUGAGAAAAGUCUAACAACCAAUAUGGUAUGGAACACGUUCUCGAGUAAUUCUUAGCAAUCUGCAAUGCAAGGAUCAUCAACCAUACAGCAAAGAGAAGUCCAAGUGCUUUCCAGUAUACAUUUUCCACAAUAGAGACCUGAGAAUAUUGCAUAAGUUAGUAAUUGUGUGUACACCUGAGAAUAUUUCACUUCCCAAGGGAAAAUGGGCUUGGAGGUAGGGGCAGGCAUUCCUUCCAAUGCACCAACUUGUUUGGGAAGUUUUUUUCAGUUUACAAAGAAGGGAAGGGGCAUUCGAACUUGGUAAAGCCAUUUCUUCCUCUCACUGUUUAGUGCCAAAUCAGGAAAUAGCAUCCACUUGUGUCAAUUUCCUGCCAAACCGUAAGAGUAUACUGUUUCAUAAGUAUUCUUGCCUUUGCCUUUUUAGGAUUUGUGGUUUCUGUUUGAGCACUUUCAUUUAUGCUUUCAGGAGGAGGUUUGGGAACCACAACUUCAACGUUGUUGCCAUUCAAUUCAAGGCAUUUGUGAGCCCCCUAUAAACUCAUAAACAAGUGAGAAAAUGUACAUAAAGAAAUGAUAAUUAGAAUCAAAACUUAAUCCCCCCCAAAAAAAAUUAUAGACCACCUUUUUAGCUAUGGUUUCUUUCUUCCAUAUUUCAAUACCCUUCAAGAAUGCCUUGGUUGACAUAACUGCAGGUAACAUAAGGUCAAUCAUUCAAGAAGUUGUUAUAAAAAAGAACACAAAUUAUUGUGUUACAAUUUGAAGUUAAUAAAGAGAGAAGCAAAAGACAGUUCAUACAAAUGAAGAUAAUAAUUAGCAGAACUGUGAUCAU